AUUGAACGCUGGCGGCAUGCCUUACACAUGCAAGUCGAACGGCAGCACGGGAGCAAUCCUGGUGGCGAGUGGCGAACGGGUGAGUAAUGUAUCGGAACGUGCCUUGUCGUGGGGGGAUAACGUAGCGAAAGCUACGCUAAUACCGCAUACCAUCUAAGGAUGAAAGCGGGGGAUCGCAAGACCUCGCGCGACAAGAGUGGCCGAUAUCAGAUUAGGUUGUUGGUGGGUAAAGGCUACCAAGCCGACGAUCUGUAGCUGGUCUGAGAGGACGACCAGCCACACUGGGACUGAGACACGGCCCAGACUCCUACGGGAGGCAGCAGUGGGGAAUUUUGGACAAUGGGCGAAAGCCUGAUCCAGCAAUGCCGNGUGCAGGAUGAAGGCCUUCGGUUGUAAC
RNAcentral lists this ribosomal RNA (397 nucleotides) under uncultured bacterium. RNAcentral describes it as "bacterial SSU rRNA". It matches the Rfam family "Bacterial small subunit ribosomal RNA", at positions 30 to 429 of the family's 1533-position model. The record is from RNAcentral.